GAAAAACUAUCGUCUAACUAUCGUUGAAAUGAUAGCUUAACAAAGACAAAUGAUACUUUUACCUAACUAUCGAUGAGAUAGCUUAACAAAGGUAAGAAUGAAAGAAAAACCAUCGUCUAACUACCGUUGAAAUGAUAGCUUAACAAAGACAAAUGAUACUUUUACCUAACUAUCGAUGAGAUAGCUUAACAAAGGUAAGAAUGAAAGAAAAACCAUCGUAUAACUAUCGUUGAAAUGAUAGCUUAACAAAGACAAAUGAUACUUUUACCUAACUAUCGAUGAGAUAGCUUAACAAAGGUAAGAAUGAAAGGAAAACCAUCGUCUAACUACCGUUGAAAUGAUAGCUUAACAAAGACAAAUGAUACUUUUACCUAACUAUCGAUGAGAUAGCUUAACAAAGGUAAGAAUGAGAGAAAAACCAUCGUCUAACUACCGUUGAAAUGAUAGCUUAACAAAGACAAAUGAUAC
RNAcentral lists this long non-coding RNA (468 nucleotides) under Medicago truncatula (barrel medic). Its description in RNAcentral is "long non-coding RNA (MTRU_LNC004285)". Lineage: Eukaryota; Viridiplantae; Streptophyta; Magnoliopsida; Fabales; Fabaceae. The record is from RNAcentral.